GGAGAUGGCGACCGGCGCACGGGUGAGUAACACGUAUCCAACCUGCCGAUAACUCGGGGAUAGCCUUUCGAAAGAAAGAUUAAUACCCGAUGGUAUAAUCAGACCGCAUGGUCUUGUUAUUAAAGAAUUUCGGUUAUCGAUGGGGAUGCGUUCCAUUAGGCAGUUGGUGAGGUAACGGCUCACCAAACCUUCGAUGGAUAGGGGUUCUGAGAGGAAGGUCCCCCACAUUGGAACUGAGACACGGUCCAAACUCCUACGGGAGGCAGCAGUGAGGAAUAUUGGUCAAUGGGCGCAGGCCUGAACCAGCCAAGUAGCGUGAAGGAUGACUGCCCUAUGGGUUGUAAACUUCUUUUAUAUGGGAAUAAAGUUUUCCACGUGUGGAAUUUUGUAUGUACCAUAUGAAUAAGGAUCGGCUAACUCCGUGCCAGCAGCCGCGGUAAUACGGAGGAUCCGAGCGUUAUCCGGAUUUAUUGGGUUUAAAGGGAGCGUAGGUGGACAGUUAAGUCAGUUGUGAAAGUUUGCGGCUCAACCGUAAAAUUGCAGUUGAUACUGGCUGUCUUGAGUACAGUAGAGGUGGGCGGAAUUCGUGGUGUAGCGGUGAAAUGCUUAGAUAUCACGAAGAACUCCGAUUGCGAAGGCAGCUCACUGGACUGCAACUGACACUGAUGCUCGAAAGUGUGGGUAUCAAACAGGAUUAGAUACCCUGGUAGUCCACACAGUAAACGAUGAAUACUCGCUGUUUGCGAUAUACAGUAAGCGGCCAAGCGAAAGCAUUAAGUAUUCCACCUGGGGAGUACGCCGGCAACGGUGAAACUCAAAGGAAUUGACGGGGGCCCGCACAAGCGGAGGAACAUGUGGUUUAAUUCGAUGAUACGCGAGGAACCUUACCCGGGCUUAAAUUGCAUUUGAAUAUAUUGGAAACAGUAUAGCCGUAAGGCAGAUGUGAAGGUGCUGCAUGGUUGUCGUCAGCUCGUGCCGUGAGGUGUCGGCUUAAGUGCCAUAACGAGCGCAACCCUUAUCUUUAGUUACUAACAGGUCAUGCUGAGGACUCUAGAGAGACUGCCGUCGUAAGAUGUGAGGAAGGUGGGGAUGACGUCAAAUCAGCACGGCCCUUACGUCCGGGGCUACACACGUGUUACAAUGGGGGGUACAGAAGGCAGCUACCUGGUGACAGGAUGCUAAUCCCAAAAGCCUCCCUCAGUUCGGAUCGAAGUCUGCAACCCGACUUCGUGAAGCUGGAUUCGCUAGUAAUCGCGCAUCAGCCAUGGCGCGGUGAAUACGUUCCCGGGCCUUGUACACACCGCCCGUCAAGCCAUGAAAGCCGGGGGUACCUGAAGUACGUAACCGCAAGGAGCGUCCUAGGGUAAAACUGGUAAUUGGGGCUAAAU
Molecule: ribosomal RNA, 1388 nt
Filed under: uncultured organism
Description: SSU rRNA
Rfam family: Bacterial small subunit ribosomal RNA
Source: RNAcentral